AAACGUAGGAGGCUAGCGUUAUCCGGAUUUAUUGGGCGUAAAGCGCGUGCAGGCGGUCUAUCAAGUUGGAUGUGAAAGCUCCUGGCUUAACUGGGAGAGGUCGUUCAAAACUGAUAGUCUCGAGAAUGGUAGAGGGAGGUGGACUUCCGGGUGUAGUGGUGAGAUGCGUAGAUAUCCGGAGGAACACCAGUGGCGAAAGCGGCCUCCUGGGCCAUUUCUGACGCUAAGACGCGAAAGCUAGGGUAGC
RNAcentral lists this ribosomal RNA (247 nucleotides) under uncultured bacterium. Its description in RNAcentral is "partial 16S ribosomal RNA". It matches the Rfam family "Bacterial small subunit ribosomal RNA", at positions 523 to 769 of the family's 1533-position model. The record is from RNAcentral.